Long non-coding RNA from Carassius auratus (goldfish), 859 nucleotides. RefSeq lists it as uncharacterized. The record is from RefSeq and is a predicted model, not a curated record. Lineage: Eukaryota; Metazoa; Chordata; Actinopteri; Cypriniformes; Cyprinidae. The transcript is spliced from 3 exons.
AGGAGCAGGCCCGGCAGGAUUUGUCUAUAGAACAUACUCCAGCAGCUGAAGCAUCAUUGCCGAUACCUGAACGAGAGUUUGUGCCAAGGCGGACCAAUAGAACAACAGCAGGCCACCAUUCAAACCCUUAUAAUCUCCCGUGUACAUUACCAGUACGCUCACCUGGAGACGAACCUAGGGGAGCUCAGGUAACUGUUAGCUCCCAUAAUGCUGUUUUUAGGCCCUGGUUGUAGUACCUUCACCACCUGUCACCGAGACGGUGACAUUUUGGGGGCGGUGAGUGUAGCGGGUAGGUGAUUGAGACUGGAAGUGUACCUUUAAGGCCUAAUCACUGGCGCUGAUCAUUUGGAUCAGGUGGCGUAAGUGACGCGUCCCUUUAAAUGUGUUGCAAGACAUGAACAGAAAAACAUUAAUGCGGUGUGAGUUGAAGAGUGAGCCUCUUGGUGUAUCGUCUGUGCAAACAGGAGAAUUUCGGCUUGGUGUCUGCGUGUAUGGUAACCAGUAAAUGGUGCCAGUAGUCACGAGUCUACAGACUAUCGCAAAAUAGUGAGUAGUGAUUCUACAUGGGGUUUGAAGUAACGAGUAACAUCGAGGAGAGUGUCCAUUAAUCAUUCAUGCCGUUUAACUUUAUUGUUAAAGAGUAUAUAGCUCUUACUUAUUUGGGCUGGUGUCAAAAGAAAUGAGGAUUGCCUUCGUCGGCCACUAGCUACUGUUUUUCCUGGGUUUAAUAAUCUUGUUUCAUUUUGUAUUUUUUCAUAUGUGUGUCUGUUUGGCAAUUGUCAUUAUUCAACCUUUGGCCAUGGGCAUUGUGCAAUAUUUCCUCUAGGGACCGUGUCUAUCUUGCAAUGUUUACUGGUGU